This 417-nucleotide ribosomal RNA is filed under the name bacterium enrichment culture clone ALO1_GLFRUDD03G28WV. Its description in RNAcentral is "bacterial SSU rRNA". It matches the Rfam family "Bacterial small subunit ribosomal RNA", at positions 9 to 428 of the family's 1533-position model. The record is from RNAcentral.
GAGUUUGAUCGUGGCUCAGAUUGAACGCUGGCGGCAUGCCUUACACAUGCAAGUCGAACGGCAGCACGGGAGCUUGCUCCUGGUGGCGAGUGGCGAACGGGUGAGUAAUGCAUCGGAACGUAUCCUGGAGUGGGGGAUAACGUAGCGAAAGUUACGCUAAUACCGCAUAUUCUGUGAGCAGGAAAGCGGGGGACCUUCGGGCCUCGCGCUCUUGGAGCGGCCGAUGUCGGAUUAGCUAGUUGGUGAGGUAAAGGCUCACCAAGGCGACGAUCCGUAGCAGGUCUGAGAGGAUGAUCUGCCACACUGGAACUGAGACACGGUCCAGACUCCUACGGGGGGCAGCAGUGGGGAAUUUUGGACAAUGGGGGCAACCCUGAUCCAGCCAUGCCGCGUGAGUGAAGAAGGCCUCGGUUGUAA